Molecule: ribosomal RNA, 613 nt
Filed under: uncultured bacterium
Lineage: Bacteria
Description: bacterial SSU rRNA
Rfam family: Bacterial small subunit ribosomal RNA
Source: RNAcentral
CCUACGGGAGGCAGCAGUGGGGAAUUUUGGACAAUGGGCGAAAGCCUGAUCCAGCAAUGCCGCGUGAGUGAAGAAGGCCUUCGGGUUGUAAAGCUCUUUUGUCAGGGAAGAAACGGUGCGGGCUAAUAUCCCGCACUAAUGACGGUACCUGAAGAAUAAGCACCGGCUAACUACGUGCCAGCAGCCGCGGUAAUACGUAGGGUGCAAGCGUUAAUCGGAAUUACUGGGCGUAAAGCGUGCGCAGGCGGUUUUGUAAGUUUGUCGUGAAAGCCCCGGGCUCAACCUGGGAAUUGCGAUGAAGACUGCAAGGCUUGAAUCUGGCAGAGGGGGGUAGAAUUCCACGUGUAGCAGUGAAAUGCGUAGAGAUGUGGAGGAACACCGAUGGCGAAGGCAGCCCCCUGGGUCAAGAUUGACGCUCAUGCACGAAAGCGUGGGGAGCAAACAGGAUUAGAUACCCUGGUAGUCCACGCCCUAAACGAUGUCUACUAGUUGUCGGGUUUUAAUUAACUUGGUAACGCAGCUAACGCGUGAAGUAGACCGCCUGGGGAGUACGGUGCAAGNUUAAACUCAAAUUGAAUUGACGGNNGNGNGNGCGAGCGACGACGAGGAGAGG